RNAcentral lists this ribosomal RNA (494 nucleotides) under uncultured bacterium. RNAcentral describes it as "partial 16S ribosomal RNA". It matches the Rfam family "Bacterial small subunit ribosomal RNA", at positions 28 to 507 of the family's 1533-position model. The record is from RNAcentral.
GACGAACGCUGGCGGCGUGCUUAACACAUGCAAGUCGAACGGUGAAGCGCCUUCCUUUUUGGUGGGUGUGGAUGAGUGGCGAACGGGUGAGUAACACGUGAGUAACCUGCCCCCUUCUUCUGGAUAACCGCAUGAAAGUGUGGCUAAUACGGGAUAUUCUGGGUCUGUCGCAUGAUGGGUCUGGGAAAGAUAUUGUUUCGGUGGGGGAUGGGCUCGCGGCCUAUCAGCUUGUUGGUGGGGUGAUGGCCUACCAAGGCGGUGACGGGUAGCCGGCCUGAGAGGGUGGACGGUCACACUGGGACUGAGACACGGCCCAGACUCCUACGGGAGGCAGCAGUGGGGAAUAUUGCACAAUGGGCGCAAGCCUGAUGCAGCGAUGCCGCGUGAGGGAUGGAGGCCUUCGGGUUGUGAACCUCUUUCGCCAGUGAAGCAGGCCUGCCUCGUCUGUGGGUGGGUUGACGGUAGCUGGAUAAGAAGCGCCGGCUAACUACGUG